This 840-nucleotide ribosomal RNA is filed under the name Escherichia coli. Its description in RNAcentral is "partial 23S ribosomal RNA". It matches the Rfam family "Bacterial large subunit ribosomal RNA", at positions 418 to 1257 of the family's 2925-position model. Lineage: Bacteria; Pseudomonadati; Pseudomonadota; Gammaproteobacteria; Enterobacterales; Enterobacteriaceae. The record is from RNAcentral.
CGGGACACGUGGUAUCCUGUCUGAAUAUGGGGGGACCAUCCUCCAAGGCUAAAUACUCCUGACUGACCGAUAGUGAACCAGUACCGUGAGGGAAAGGCGAAAAGAACCCCGGCGAGGGGAGUGAAAAAGAACCUGAAACCGUGUACGUACAAGCAGUGGGAGCACGCUUAGGCGUGUGACUGCGUACCUUUUGUAUAAUGGGUCAGCGACUUAUAUUCUGUAGCAAGGUUAACCGAAUAGGGGAGCCGAAGGGAAACCGAGUCUUAACUGGGCGUUAAGUUGCAGGGUAUAGACCCGAAACCCGGUGAUCUAGCCAUGGGCAGGUUGAAGGUUGGGUAACACUAACUGGAGGACCGAACCGACUAAUGUUGAAAAAUUAGCGGAUGACUUGUGGCUGGGGGUGAAAGGCCAAUCAAACCGGGAGAUAGCUGGUUCUCCCCGAAAGCUAUUUAGGUAGCGCCUCGUGAAUUCAUCUCCGGGGGUAGAGCACUGUUUCGGCAAGGGGGUCAUCCCGACUUACCAACCCGAUGCAAACUGCGAAUACCGGAGAAUGUUAUCACGGGAGACACACGGCGGGUGCUAACGUCCGUCGUGAAGAGGGAAACAACCCAGACCGCCAGCUAAGGUCCCAAAGUCAUGGUUAAGUGGGAAACGAUGUGGGAAGGCCCAGACAGCCAGGAUGUUGGCUUAGAAGCAGCCAUCAUUUAAAGAAAGCGUAAUAGCUCACUGGUCGAGUCGGCCUGCGCGGAAGAUGUAACGGGGCUAAACCAUGCACCGAAGCUGCGGCAGCGACGCUGAUGCGUUGUUGGGUAGGGGAGCGUUCUGUAAGCCUGUGAAGGU